UGGGGAAUAUUGCACAAUGGGCGGAAGCCUGAUGCAGCGACGCCGCGUGGGGGAUGAAGGCCUUCGGGUUGUAAACUCCUUUCGACAGGGACGAAGCUUUUGUGACGGUACCUGUAUAAGAAGCACCGGCUAACUACGUGCCAGCAGCCGCGGUAAUACGUAGGGUGCGAGCGUUGUCCGGAAUUACUGGGCGUAAAGAGCUCGUAGGUGGUUUGUGGCGUCGUCUGUGAAAUUCCGGGGCUUAACUCCGAGCGUGCAGGCGAUACGGGCUGACUUGAGUGCUGUAGGGGAGACUGGAAUUCCUGGUGUAGCGGUGAAAUGCGCAGAUAUCAGGAGGAACAACGAUGGCGAAGGCAGGUCUCUGGGCAGUAACUGACGCUGAGGAGCGAAAGCAUGGGUAGCGAACAGG
RNAcentral lists this ribosomal RNA (409 nucleotides) under Actinomycetes bacterium. RNAcentral describes it as "Actinobacteria bacterium partial 16S ribosomal RNA". It matches the Rfam family "Bacterial small subunit ribosomal RNA", at positions 355 to 776 of the family's 1533-position model. Lineage: Bacteria; Bacillati; Actinomycetota; Actinomycetes. The record is from RNAcentral.